CCCUUAGAUGUUCUGGGCCGCACGCGCGCUACACUGAUGCAUUCAACGAGCCUAUCCUUGACCGACAGGUCCGGGUAAUCUUUGAAUCUGCAUCGUGACGGGGAUAGAUUAUUGCAAUUAUUAAUCUUCAACGAGGAAUGCCUAGUAGGCGCAAGUCAUCAGCUUGCGUCGAUUACGUCCCUGCCCUUUGUACACACCGCCCGUCGCUCCUACCGAUUGGGUGUGCUGGUGAAAUGUUCGGAUCGGCCGUUUGUCGCGGUUUCCGCGUCAUGUGGCUGAGAAGUUCAUUAAACCCUCCCACCUAGAAGAAGGAGAAGUCGUAACA
RNAcentral lists this ribosomal RNA (325 nucleotides) under uncultured eukaryote. RNAcentral's name for it is "partial 18S ribosomal RNA". It matches the Rfam family "Eukaryotic small subunit ribosomal RNA", at positions 1470 to 1796 of the family's 1831-position model. The record is from RNAcentral.